RNAcentral lists this ribosomal RNA (714 nucleotides) under uncultured bacterium. Its description in RNAcentral is "bacterial SSU rRNA". It matches the Rfam family "Bacterial small subunit ribosomal RNA", at positions 355 to 1083 of the family's 1533-position model. The record is from RNAcentral.
UGGGGAAUAUUGGGCAAUGGAGGAAACUCUGACCCAGCGACGCCGCGUGCGGGAUGAAGGCCUUCGGGUUGUAAACCGCUUUCAGCAGGGAAGAAGCGAAAGUGACGGUACCUGCAGAAGAAGCACCGGCUAACUAUGUGCCAGCAGCCGCGGUAAUACAUAGGGUGCAAGCGUUGUCCGGAAUUAUUGGGCGUAAAGAGCUCGUAGGUGGUUCGUCACGUCGGAUGUGAAACUCUGGGGCUUAACCCCAGACCUGCAUUCGAUACGGGCGAGCUUGAGUAUGGUAGGGGAGUCUGGAAUUCCUGGUGUAGCGGUGGAAUGCGCAGAUAUCAGGAGGAACACCAAUGGCGAAGGCAGGACUCUGGGCCAUUACUGACACUGAGGAGCGAAAGCGUGGGGAGCGAACAGGAUUAGAUACCCUGGUAGUCCACGCCGUAAACGGUGGGCACUAGUUGUGGGGACCUUCCACGGUCUCUGCGACGCAGCUAACGCAUUAAGUGCCCCGCCUGGGGAGUACGAUCGCAAGAUUAAAACUCAAAGGAAUUGACGGGGCCCCGCACAAGCAGCGGAGCAUGCGGCUUAAUUCGACGCAACGCGAAGAACCUUACCAAGGCUUGACAUAUACAGGAAUAUGGCAGAGAUGUCAUAGCCGCAAGGUCUGUAUACAGGUGGUGCAUGGUUGUCGUCAGCUCGUGUCGUGAGAUGUUGGGUUAA